UUAUAUACUUUGAUGACAGCUUCUAAAAUGUGAAAAUGUUCUUGAUUUUUCUCUACUCUGUGACCGUAAACUGAAUAUCCUUGAGUUUUGGACAAAACAAGAUAUUCAAGGACGUCAUUUGGGAUCUGGGAAACACUGAUCCACAUUUAUAAAUAUGUUUUGACAUUUUUAUUCAUCAAACAACUAA
Etheostoma cragini (Arkansas darter) is the source of this 187-nucleotide long non-coding RNA. RefSeq lists it as uncharacterized. Lineage: Eukaryota; Metazoa; Chordata; Actinopteri; Perciformes; Percidae. The transcript is spliced from 3 exons. The record is from RefSeq and is a predicted model, not a curated record.